This 713-nucleotide ribosomal RNA is filed under the name uncultured bacterium. RNAcentral's name for it is "bacterial SSU rRNA". It matches the Rfam family "Bacterial small subunit ribosomal RNA", at positions 53 to 732 of the family's 1533-position model. The record is from RNAcentral.
ACAUGCAAGUCGAACGGGAAUUGUGGGGCUUGCUCCGCAAUUCUAGUGGCGAACGGGUGAGUAACGCGUAGGCAAUCUUCCUUUCGGUUGGGGAUAAUCCCGGGAAACUGGGACUAAUACCGAAUACGCGUGCGCGGUCCUCGGACUGUGCACGGAAAGACAGCGUCUGCUUGCAGGCUGUCACCGAUAGAUGGGCCUGCGUCCUAUUAGCUAGUUGGUGAGGUAACGGCUCACCAAGGCGACGAUGGGUAGCCGACCUGAGAGGGUGCUCGGCCACACUGGGACUGAGACACGGCCCAGACUCCUACGGGAGGCAGCAGUGGGGAAUAUUGGGCAAUGGGCGCAAGCCUGACCCAGCGACGCCGCGUGAGCGAUGAAGGCCUUCGGGUUGUAAAGCUCUGUUGUAGGGAACGAACCGGCGGGAGAGGAAAUGCUCCCGCUCUGACGGUACCCUACGAGGAAGCCCCGGCUAACUCCGUGCCAGCAGCCGCGGUAAAACGGAGGGGGCGAGCGUUGUUCGGAAUUACUGGGCGUAAAGGGCGCGUACGCGGUCAGAUAAGUCGGGUGUGAAAUCCUCCAGCCCACUGGAGAACUGCGCCCGAAACUAUCUGUCUUGGGUACAGGAGAGGAGAGUGGAAUUCCCANGUGGUAGCGGUGAACAUGGGCGUAGACUAUUGGGAAGGAANNCACCGGUGGCGAAGGCGANUCUCUGG